UACAGAGGUCUCAAGCGUUGUUCGGAUUCAUUGGGCGUAAAGGGUGCGUAGGCGGCGCGGUAAGUCGGAUGUGAAAUCUCGGGGCUUAACUCCGAAACUGCAUUCGAUACUGCCGUGCUUGAGGACUGGAGAGGAGACUGGAAUUUACGGUGUAGCGGUGAAAUGCGCAGAUAUCAGGAGGAACACCGGUGGCGAAGGCGGGUCUCUGGGCCGAUACUGACGCUGAGGAGCGAAAGCGUGGGGAGCGAACAGG
This 253-nucleotide ribosomal RNA is filed under the name uncultured bacterium. RNAcentral's name for it is "partial 16S ribosomal RNA". It matches the Rfam family "Bacterial small subunit ribosomal RNA", at positions 524 to 776 of the family's 1533-position model. The record is from RNAcentral.